This is a long non-coding RNA of Anopheles merus, 1702 nucleotides long. RefSeq lists it as uncharacterized. The record is from RefSeq and is a predicted model, not a curated record. Lineage: Eukaryota; Metazoa; Arthropoda; Insecta; Diptera; Culicidae. The transcript has 5 exons.
UGUGUGCCGAUUACAAAUUUACCAAAUGAGAGACAACUGUCAAAUUAGUAUCAUGGACAACUUGAUUGAAAUUUGGUUCACUGUUGGAAUUGAAUGGAAAAAGGACCAUAACAACUGGCACGACUACCCUACAGUAGCUAACAAACUAUCAAAUAAACUCACAGUUCGUUUGACUUCCAUUGCUUUCAGCCCAAACCCUUCCAACCUUCACCGAUAGCAAAUCAACAGUUGCUCCAACGGCGAACGAACAAAUAGGACAAGUUACUAUUGUGUAAAAGUGCUACACUUCCGGUCCAUGGUGUCGUGCUGCCCAACACACGACGGGCGUGUUGCAGUAAUGUCUCUACCUCUAUCGAACGAGGCACAUGAAGCAGAAUCACUAGCAGCAGCAGCAACAGCAGCCAACGACUUUCGAACAAGUUCGAACACUCCAACCAGCUAAUGGAAGGAGAAAAUAAAAACUGUUCCCUUCCACGUUCACGUACUUUUCGAUUGAGCUUGGCAAACAAAAUCACAUCACUCCCAAAAGGACCAUUUUCGUUGCCGUGCCAGUCCCUUCGGUGGAAGAGGAUUUGAAAAUUGAACCAUCAAAUGGAUUGGAAUCAAAAUCUCGCCCAUGGUGUGCCACAGGUCUCCCGGUCACGAAAACUUUCGUCUGUCUCGAUGAAAGUGAUUUAUGAUGGCCAGACCCCAUACGUAGCAAGCAGGCUGGCAGGCAGGCAGGCAGUGAACGGUGUGAGAAAAAAGGGGGAAAAACCUCCACACCACGGGCUGGCGGAAAAGGUAGCAUAGAUCGCUUACGCUCCUCUGGGGGAAACAUCGAAACAUGGGGGGCGAAACUUCAACCACGGCCACCAGUGUACCAGUUGCAUGCAAAGAUGUGCCACUGUGUCUCCUGUUUCUACUGAAACUAUUUUCUUCUCGUUUUUUUCUUUCUAUAGUUUAAUGGAAUUUUUAAAUACAUCCUGUUGAGGGGCGAACCAGUGGACUAAAUGAAACUUUGGGACAACAUCCGGCAAAGCAAUAGGGCAACGUUUUUGCCACAACACAGCAAAACAUUCGAUUGACCGUGUGCUGUACAGUUUUUGUGCUGUUUAAAUAUCAAAUCCCUAUCUAGAGACGUAAAACUUAUCCGAUUUUCUUUGCAGGAUACAUGUUUUGUACAAGUAUGCUGGUUGAACUGAACUUUGACCAGCAUGAUGUUUGCUGUCGGAACUACUACGUCUCUUUUUACCGCGCUAUGCUCACCUAACAUAUGGGCUGUUCCUAUUCACUUUAGUUUUCUAAUGGUUCCCCCAAUCGAGGCACUAGCAAAAAGGUCAACCUCCACAACCUUGCAGUCCCCAGUUUUGACAGGAUGCAAUUACGCCCUGUCAAAUUGGUGCAUUAAAAGCUGCAUACUUAUCGAAUCGCCACCGCGCUUCGUUUGCGGUGUGAUUUAGUGAGACUGAUGAUAAUGGGGAGGAGGCGGAUGAUGCUGCCCCUCGUUUAUUGCAGCAAAUGAACUUGCAGCGUGCAGGCCAAUUAAGUCGUUUAUCAUGCACGGUUUGCCUUUGGAGCAAAUAUGCUAACGGAGCCACUAAUUUGCGUAAAUCAAAUUUGGAAUUGGGGGAGUGCAACUCAAUUGGAUCGAACUAGAUCAUGUGAAGUAACAGAAAAUUCGUUCAUAAAAUCUGCUCGAUGUAUUCCUUUUCUGCUAAAA